RNAcentral lists this long non-coding RNA (2510 nucleotides) under Gossypium raimondii (Peruvian cotton). Its description in RNAcentral is "long non-coding RNA (GRAI_LNC001665)". Lineage: Eukaryota; Viridiplantae; Streptophyta; Magnoliopsida; Malvales; Malvaceae. The record is from RNAcentral.
GUAAUAUAACGUAACACUCAUGCAUGGAAAACAUCAGCUUUAAUCAUAAUAAAAAGAUAAUUAAAUAACAAAUGUUUUACUUUAGGGUUCGUAAAAUGAAAAUAAUCUUAAAAUUUCAAGGAAAAUUAUUUUAAUAACAAAAUUAAAUUAUAAUAAGUCUAAUCUCACAUAAAUAAAAUCUCAUCGCUUAUUUUCCUAGGUUCACCGAUAUCUAUUCAGGUAUGAGUCUCGCCAAGUCAUCUACCUCGCCAAUGCCAUCCGCAACUUACUUACCUGCGAAGUAAGAUAGGAGUGGGUGAGUUCAUUGUGAACUCGGUGAAUAAGCAAGAAUCAGUAAAGUAUGCUUACAACAUAGAGUUUAAAACGAAAAUAGGACUUAGUCUGAAAAUUGUGUUGCGUGCUAGGUUCGGGGUGAAGGUGAGAGACCCAAUUAGCAAAUCCCUCUUGUAAAAAAACAUAUAAGUUUGAAAACAGUUUCGCGUAUACUUACUGAAAAUCAUACUUAAAAACUUAGCUUGUACUUUUUUGAAAUAAAUCAUAGAAUAGCAUGAAACAUGCUUACAUACUUAUCUUAUCAAAAUGGCUAAGGAACAUAAAACAAGUUCUCACCCACACUUAUCUUAUCAGAAUCUGUUGGAUUUGUGGAUCUCCUUAUAACGCCUCAGAAUUACUCAAUAAGUCAUUAACAUGUCCCAUAAGUGUAGCAUAAAGCUAAACACUCUCCUGUACACCACCAUGUCCCAUUGAAUGGAGCAUAACUCAACAUUCUCUUAUAUCUACACAUGACUCAGGGCCUUAACAUUCAAAAUCACAGAAAACUUGUGGUGAGUAUAAAACUUGAGAAUUUUAUACUAUACUUUUAAAAUCACAGAAAACUUAUCACAUAAAGCUCGCAAAAACAUAACUUUUAAAACUGUACUUUUAAAACAUGCUUGAAAACAUAGUCUCGCAUAGGAGCAUGAGUAACACAUAUCUUUAAAACAUGGCUUAAAACAUAUCUUGAAAACAGAGUAUCAGAACUUAAAAACAGAGUUUUGUAGGAAAACUUACUCUUGAAACUUAGUUUUAAAAACAAAGUUUUUUUAAUAACAAGCGGUUCACACACAAGUUACGAACCCCUGAGCAUUUAUACUGAAACAUGAUAGGUUAGCACACUUAUGACAAUUCUUAACCACUCACUGAAAAAGCUUGAGAAUUUACAGAAGUUUUGCUUUGCCUUUAUCUUUAUUGGUAGAUGGCCCGGCUGGUUCGCAACAUACAUAAACAUACAGAUUACUUAAAUAGACAAAACUUACAGAAUUCACACAUGCAAGUGAACCUAGCUUUCUGGACAAUAAACCCUAACAGGAUAGAGGCUUAAUUGGUUGCUACGAACUUGAUUCAAAAUAUCAAUGAGAGAAUUCUCAUGGAAUAAGGGUCUUGGAAAUCUUAAGAUACCAUACUUGACUUAGGAAAUGUGUUACUUGCACGAAAAAUAUUACUAGAUACACCAUAUCUUUAUUUCCUAAUUUGAGUCUACCUUUGAAUUUGAUUGGUGAACCCCCAGUUCACAACUUGACUGGCAAACCCCCAUUUCCCAACUUAACCAACGAACAUUGGCUUGUCAAACAGACAGGCGAACACGACUUCUGACAAACCUCCUUACCACAUCUUUUGUCAUAUAUUUCUUACUGAUCUUUACUGAAACUCUUUACUAAACUCUUUUGGCGAACUUUUUACUGUUCAUUCUGAAGGGCAUCAAUUUGCCAAAACACUGGUGAACUCCUUGCUGGUAUUCAUUUGGUGAACUCCUAGUUCGCUGAAGCACUGACGAACACCUUGCUUGCCGAAACACUGACGAAUCUUCACUUGCCAAAACUUCCAGAUUCGAUCUCGGGUUGUUGAAAUUAAAAUGUUUAUUUUAAACAUGAUGUUGGGAAGUAAAAUAUAAGUUAGCUUAAAUGGUAUUUAAAUAAUUUAAUAUACUAAUACAACAGUUAAUAUAAAUUAUUUGUAAAGUUUAAUUUAAAAAUAUAAACCAUAUUAUAGAAAAUUAAGAUUUUUUUAUUAAUUUACAUGCUCAUCGCUAACUGCUAAGUUAAAACUUAAAAAAAAAAUGAUUGUUAUGGAUUCAUUUAGUUGUAAAAUAAGUAUUACGUGACAAUCAAUUAAACUUUUAAUUGGUUGGGAUGAAAUAAAUGAAGGUUUUUGAUAAUUUACAUCCAAAAGCCAAAAGCUCUUUUUUCUCAGCUUGUAAGGUUGGGUUUAAAAGCUAAUUUGAAAUGCAUUUUUUAUUCCAAACUCGCAUUGUUCUUCAUUUCUUAUGGAACCAAAAGUGCUUUAGGCUCCAAACACUAGUUUGAAAUACAAUGAGAGCUAGUUCUCUUUUGUUGUUGUGAUUGAAAUGUGUUUUUUAAAAGUAUUUUUUUUAAAUGCUUUUGAAGGGUGUGAUAGAAAAAUGUUACGAAAAAGUGUGUUUAUUAAUUUUUAGUGUUUUUAAUUGCCAUCAAAAAUUGCGGGUGAAAGUUAAA